This 90-nucleotide transfer RNA is filed under the name Qipengyuania marincola. RNAcentral's name for it is "tRNA-Ser". It matches the Rfam family "tRNA". Rfam says of the family: Transfer RNA (tRNA) molecules are approximately 80 nucleotides in length. Their secondary structure includes four short double-helical elements and three loops (D, anti-codon, and T loops). Further hydrogen bonds mediate the characteristic L-shaped molecular structure. tRNAs have two regions of fundamental functional importance: the anti-codon, which is responsible for specific mRNA codon recognition, and the 3' end, to which the tRNAs corresponding amino acid is attached (by aminoacyl-tRNA synthetases). tRNAs cope with the degeneracy of the genetic code in two manners: having more than one tRNA (with a specific anti-codon) for a particular amino acid; and 'wobble' base-pairing, i.e. permitting non-standard base-pairing at the 3rd anti-codon position. The record is from RNAcentral. Lineage: Bacteria; Pseudomonadati; Pseudomonadota; Alphaproteobacteria; Sphingomonadales; Erythrobacteraceae. RNAcentral also lists the same sequence under 2 other names.
GGAGAGGUGGCAGAGUGGUCGAAUGCGCUGCACUCGAAAUGCAGUAUAGGUGCAAGCCUAUCGAGGGUUCGAAUCCCUCCCUCUCCGCCA